UACGAAGGGUGCAAGCGUUACUCGGAAUCACUGGGCGUAAAGCGUGCGUAGGCGGUUCGUUAAGUCUGCUGUGAAAGCCCUGGGCUCAACCUGGGAACUGCAGUGGAUACUGGCGGACUAGAGUGUGAUAGAGGAUGGUGGAAUUCCCGGUGUAGCGGUGAAAUGCGCAGAUAUCGGGAGGAACACCAAUGGCGAAGGCAGCUUGCUGGGACGGUACUGACGCUGAGGCGCGAAAGCGUGGGGAGCAAACAGG
RNAcentral lists this ribosomal RNA (253 nucleotides) under uncultured bacterium. RNAcentral's name for it is "partial 16S ribosomal RNA". It matches the Rfam family "Bacterial small subunit ribosomal RNA", at positions 524 to 776 of the family's 1533-position model. The record is from RNAcentral.